Spinacia oleracea (spinach) is the source of this 3187-nucleotide long non-coding RNA. RefSeq lists it as uncharacterized. The record is from RefSeq and is a predicted model, not a curated record. The transcript has 2 exons. Lineage: Eukaryota; Viridiplantae; Streptophyta; Magnoliopsida; Caryophyllales; Amaranthaceae.
UAUUCCUAACGAUUUUCCCAUAACAAAACUAAAAACUUUGUAAAGAUUUCCAAGGAAUUGAACCGGCCGUAACCUACACUCAAUCCCUCAAGCUUCUCUAAUCAUGCGGUUCUCACACAACCCCAGUCUUCAUCUUCCUUCCCUCAACAAUCUUUCUCUCGUAAUUCAUCAUCUCAUCACAAUUUCCUCCCCUAAAACCUCUAAGUAAUCCUGCAAUUCUCACAAGUCACAACCAGUCAUCCUCUCUCAAGAUCUAUUAGAGCAGUACGCUCAUCAUCUCCAGCAAUUCAUCAUCUUACAAACGCGCAAUAACUGCUGGUUUUCUACGCAAAGCGAACACAAAAAAAGAAGUUAAGGCAUUUCUUUGAUUCGUGAAACUUAAGUGUUAAUCUUAAUUUUUUGUGUUUCCGUUAUUAUUAUUUUUUCUCUGUUAUCAGAUUUGGCGUUUUUAUCUAAAACUUAUUGAAUUGAUAUGAUUGAGUUAAGUGUUAGAUUAGAAUAAACUUAUAUACGAUGGGUGUAUAGAUGUUGAUGAGUCGAUGGUGGAUGAGCCAAUUGAGACCCUUAAGAGGUGAAGAAUUUGCCUUCUUUUAUAUUCAGUUUGUUGUUCAUAAGGUAUUUGAUGAAAUGCUUGUGAGAGGUUGUUGUGUUUUUUGUUGUUGUUGUUGAGAUAAUUGUCCUGUGAAAGUUUGUAUAACAUUGAUUUGUUCUAUAAUUAAUGCCCAAAUUUUGUGUCUUGGAGACCUUGAAAAAGCGUUGGUGGCAACUAAUUUUGGAUGGUAAGAGUAAUAACAUUUCCAUUAACACUUUCAGGUGUUGUAGUAAUAGGAUUGGUAUCUGAAGAUUAGAUUUGGGUUAAAAAUGCUCAUUUUAGGGGAAGAUUUGUGUAAGUGCUAGUUGUAUAUUGCUUUGGAAAGUAGACAGUUUGACGAGGUUAGAAGAUUUAUGGUAGUACUUAGAAUGUAGACAGUUUGACGAGGUUAGAAGUAUUAUGGUAGUGCCUAGAAUGUAGACAGUUUGACGAGGUUAGAAGAGUUAUCGUAGUGCCUAGUAGGAUAUUGGCUUUUAAGGAGGCUGGUAUUCGUUAGACGCUGAAGAUGAAGAUUACAUAUUUUCUGGGUGGCUGGUAGUGGAGCAUAAGUAAUUUAGUGACUACAAUGACAUGAAGAGUAUUACAACAGAAUUUCAACACUGUUACCUUAUUGCAUUAACCUUAACAGAUGUUUAUAUCUAGCAGAGGUGACAAAGCUUUUGUAAUUGAUGUCUAAAAUUUUGCUUUCCCACGUUGAUAUUUUCCUUGAAUGUUCUUCAAAAUUAUUCAAAAAAAAUAAGAGCAAUGUUUUUUGUGUAAGACUAAACUUCUAAAUCUUCUUAUCUGUACACUAUUGAUCACAGGAAAGAAUUUUCCCUUCAGGAGCUGAACUAAUUUGGUAUUGACAACAACCAUGUAGUAUCAGAGUAUCUUCCAGAACACAACUGAAGGAGCUGCCGCCGAAACUGUAUAUGGUACUGAUAAAAAUGUCUGAAAGCACAAAAUAUAGAAUUAGCUCAAAACAGGAUCAAGUAAGAUUAUCUUUACAUUACAAAAAAUUCAAAGUAUGAUGUCUCAUAUAUUUAGUUUGUGAAUGCGAUAUGACUAACUGAGAUGGUUUAUAACUCAAAACUCUGAACUUCAGUACUAAUUUUGGACAAGGGCUAUGCAGUAAUCAAAUUCUCUAAAUUUGGCUUUUUACAUGCAGCAUCUAUAUCUUUCCUUGGAAGAGUAUGUCAUAUUUUGCUAAGAUAAUUAGACACCUUUACAAAGUUAACGAAGCAUGUACUUGGUUUUACCCUUAUAGUAGGGAUUGUAUACCCUGCUAUACUCAUGUGCCAAUUGAUGCAUAACAACAGAGAACAGACUCUAUCAAGAAUUGUGUUGAUAACUCUUGAUUUUGUCUUAACUCUCUAUACUAGAUCAGGACUUGAUGUGUAAAAUCUGUAGUGAUUUGUUGUCUUAACUCUCCAAAGUAGAUCAGGACUUGAUGUGUAAGAUCAGUAGUGCUUUGUAUCAUUUUUUUUACUGAAAACCCAAUGCCUUCAGUAACGUUACAGAUUGGUCCAAUUAUUAGUAAGUUUUUGCUGAGAAGCCAUAAAACAGUUGUCGCCUGUUUGCCUAUGUAUGUUACUCCUAUAUAGUUUAAUUUGUUAUGAUCCACUUAUUCUAGUUACUUUGAAUCUUGUAUUAAUCAUUCUCGUGUUCUCCCAGAUGUGACUCAAUUUGAUAUAGAUUGAUGUGACUGAACAGUACGUAGGUUCAGCUUGUACGCUGCAACAGGUCUGAAUCAUGUAUCUCUGAUUGCCACAUAAUUGAAAGGUGCUUUUACUUGAUGGAAACAGCUUCUUUUCUCAACAACAACGGGUUAACCUCUUAUUGGCAUUGCUGAAAUAUGUAUCAACAUUAAAUUGGCCAUGUAGAUAGCGGUUUAACCGGUACGGAGUAUUUACUAUUAUUAGUAAAUUAGUACUCUGUAUCAUAUAUAUAGGAAUCAAGGAUUCAGUAUCAGAAAAAUCUUGUUCGCUUCAGCGGGUGGUGGAUUAGAUAGCGUGCAAGUAAAAGGACAUAUAUUUGUGACUUAUCGAACUUGGCAAGCCAAGAACAAAGGAUCUUUCAAGUCUCUAAGAUGGAAAUAAAUUACGUAAGAUUUAAUUAGUUUGAUUAUUAUUUUUAUCGUAAUUUUAUUCAUAUAUGUGUUAAUCUUUAAUUUAAUGUGUAUUAUGUUUGUGUCUUAUUGUUCUCGCCAACCGAAAAUGCUUGAAUGUGGCUAUUACGUCAUGAGUACAUGUAUCAAAUAGUUUUACUUGAAUUACAAAGUAUUGGUAAUCUGGAAGAGGUACGUGUAUUUUUGUUAUUAUAGGUGUAUCUCAUUUUUUUACUAUGCGCUAACUUUUAAGUUUUAUCCUAACUUUACUAAUUAUACAUUAUUUUGUUGAAGUACAGAUAUUUUCUGCAAACUCGUCGUACACUCAAGAGGAGAUUGAUGAUGUUCGAGAAAAAUGGAGCAGAUAUUUUUUAGUAGUUGUUUGUAGUCAUUGUCUCGUUUUCAAAGAUAGAAAACUAUAACAAAUUGUAGGUUAAUUUUUUGGAAUACAUUAUUUAUACUUGUUAAACCAACUUUCUUGUUUGAAUUAAUAAAAAUUCUUUUCGCAA